This 440-nucleotide ribosomal RNA is filed under the name uncultured bacterium. RNAcentral describes it as "partial 16S ribosomal RNA". It matches the Rfam family "Bacterial small subunit ribosomal RNA", at positions 338 to 795 of the family's 1533-position model. The record is from RNAcentral.
CCUACGGGUGGCAGCAGUAGGGAAUAUUGCUCAAUGGGGGAAACCCUGAAGCAGCAACGCCGCGUGGAGGAUGAAGGUUUUCGGAUUGUAAACUCCUUUUGUUAGAGAAGAUAAUGACGGUAUCUAACGAAUAAGCACCGGCUAACUCCGUGCCAGCAGCCGCGGUAAUACGGAGGGUGCAAGCGUUACUCGGAAUCACUGGGCGUAAAGAGCGCGUAGGCGGGAUAGCAAGGCAGAUGUGAAAUCCUAUGGCUUAACCAUAGAACUGCAUUUGAAACUGGUAUUCUAGAGUAUGGGAGAGGUAGGUGGAAUUCUUGGUGUAGGGGUGAAAUGCGUAGAGAUCAAGAGGAAUACUCAUUGCGAAGGCGACCUGCUAGAACAUAACUGACGCUGAUGCGCGAAAGCGUGGGGAGCAAACAGGAUUAGAUACCCGAGUAGUC